GGGGGGGCAAGCGUUGUUCGGAAUUACUGGGCGUAAAGGGCUCGUAGGUGGCCAACUAAGUCGGACGUGAAAUCCCUCGGCUUAACCGGGGAACUGCGUCCGAUACUGGUUGGCUUGAGUUUGGGAGAGGGAUGCGGAAUUCCAGGUGUAGCGGUGAAAUGCGUAGAUAUCUGGAGGAACACCGGUGGCGAAGGCGGCAUCCUGGACCAAUACUGGCGCUGAGGAGCGAAAGCCAGGGGAGCAAACGGGAUUAGAUACCCCGGUAGUCCUGGCCCUAAACGAUGAAUGCUUGGUGUGGCGGGUAUCGAUCCCUGCCGUGCCGAAGCUAACGCAUUAAGCAUUCCGCCUGGGGAGUACGGUCGCAAGGCUG
RNAcentral lists this ribosomal RNA (370 nucleotides) under uncultured organism. Its description in RNAcentral is "bacterial SSU rRNA". It matches the Rfam family "Bacterial small subunit ribosomal RNA", at positions 528 to 896 of the family's 1533-position model. The record is from RNAcentral.